RNAcentral lists this ribosomal RNA (1372 nucleotides) under uncultured bacterium. RNAcentral describes it as "bacterial SSU rRNA". It matches the Rfam family "Bacterial small subunit ribosomal RNA", at positions 28 to 1381 of the family's 1533-position model. The record is from RNAcentral.
GAUGAACGCUGGCGGCGUGCCUAAUACAUGCAAGUCGAGCGAACGGACGAGAAGCUUGCUUCUCUGAUGUUAGCGGCGGACGGGUGAGUAACACGUGGAUAACCUACCUAUAAGACUGGGAUAACUUCGGGAAACCGGAGCUAAUACCGGAUAAUAUUUUGAACCGCAUGGUUCAAAAGUGAAAGACGGUCUUGCUGUCACUUAUAGAUGGAUCCGCGCUGCAUUAGCUAGUUGGUAAGGUAACGGCUUACCAAGGCAACGAUGCAUAGCCGACCUGAGAGGGUGAUCGGCCACACUGGAACUGAGACACGGUCCAGACUCCUACGGGAGGCAGCAGUAGGGAAUCUUCCGCAAUGGGCGAAAGCCUGACGGAGCAACGCCGCGUGAGUGAUGAAGGUCUUCGGAUCGUAAAACUCUGUUAUUAGGGAAGAACAUAUGUGUAAGUAACUGUGCACAUCUUGACGGUACCUAAUCAGAAAGCCACGGCUAACUACGUGCCAGCAGCCGCGGUAAUACGUAGGUGGCAAGCGUUAUCCGGAAUUAUUGGGCGUAAAGCGCGCGUAGGCGGUUUUUUAAGUCUGAUGUGAAAGCCCACGGCUCAACCGUGGAGGGUCAUUGGAAACUGGAAAACUUGAGUGCAGAAGAGGAAAGUGGAAUUCCAUGUGUAGCGGUGAAAUGCGCAGAGAUAUGGAGGAACACCAGUGGCGAAGGCGACUUUCUGGUCUGUAACUGACGCUGAUGUGCGAAAGCGUGGGGAUCAAACAGGAUUAGAUACCCUGGUAGUCCACGCCGUAAACGAUGAGUGCUAAGUGUUAGGGGGUUUCCGCCCCUUAGUGCUGCAGCUAACGCAUUAAGCACUCCGCCUGGGGAGUACGACCGCAAGGUUGAAACUCAAAGGAAUUGACGGGGACCCGCACAAGCGGUGGAGCAUGUGGUUUAAUUCGAAGCAACGCGAAGAACCUUACCAAAUCUUGACAUCCUUUGACAACUCUAGAGAUAGAGCUUUCCCCUUCGGGGGACAAGGUGACAGGUGGUGCAUGGUUGUCGUCAGCUCGUGUCGUGAGAUGUUGGGUUAAGUCCCGCAACGAGCGCAACCCUUAAGCUUAGUUGCCAUCAUUAAGUUGGGCACUCUAAGUUGACUGCCGGUGACAAACCGGAGGAAGGUGGGGAUGACGUCAAAUCAUCAUGCCCCUUAUGAUUUGGGCUACACACGUGCUACAAUGGACAAUACAAAGGGCAGCGAAACCGCGAGGUCAAGCAAAUCCCAUAAAGUUGUUCUCAGUUCGGAUUGUAGUCUGCAACUCGACUACAUGAAGCUGGAAUCGCUAGUAAUCGUAGAUCAGCAUGCUACGGUGAAUACGUUCCCGGGUCU